AGAGCGAACGCUGGCGGCAGGCCUAACACAUGCAAGUCGAGCGCCCGUAGCAAUACGGGAGCGGCAGACGGGAUAGUAACACGUGGGAACGCGCCCUUCGGUUCGGAAUAACUCAGGGAAACUUGAGCUAAUACCGGAUACGCCCUUACGGGGAAAGAUUUAUUGCCGAAGGAACGGCCCGCGUCCGAUUAGCUAGUUGGUGAGGUAAUGGCUCACCAAGGCGACGAUCGGUAGCUGGUCUGAGAGGAUGACCAGCAUCACUGGGACUGAGACACGGCCCAGACUCCUACGGGAGGCAGCAGUGGGGAAUAUUGGACAAUGGGCGCAAGCCUGAUCCAGCCAUGCCGCGUGGAUGAUGAAGGCCUUAGGGUUGUAAAGUCUUUACGGGAAGAUAAUGACGUACCCGUAGAAUAAGCCCGGCUAACUUCGUGCCAGCAGCCGC
RNAcentral lists this ribosomal RNA (442 nucleotides) under uncultured bacterium. RNAcentral's name for it is "SSU rRNA". It matches the Rfam family "Bacterial small subunit ribosomal RNA", at positions 26 to 518 of the family's 1533-position model. The record is from RNAcentral.